This is a long non-coding RNA of Musa acuminata AAA Group (dessert banana), 537 nucleotides long. RefSeq lists it as uncharacterized. The record is from RefSeq and is a predicted model, not a curated record. The transcript has 3 exons. Lineage: Eukaryota; Viridiplantae; Streptophyta; Magnoliopsida; Zingiberales; Musaceae.
UGCAAGAUUAGUUCCCAGCAUUGAGGUUCAAGAUAAGAUUAUUCAUGAAUUAUCUUUAUAUAAAAAUGCUGAAGGUCUUUUUGGAAUUCCAAUUGCUGUUCGAUCCAGGACAACUACCUCUCCAGCUGAAUGGUGGAGUCUAUUUGGAAAUUCCACCCCGAACUUACAGAAAUUUGCUGUCAAAGUACUUAGUUUGACAUGUAGUGCUUCGGGUUGUGAGCGAAACUGGAGUGUCUUUGAGCAUAUUCACUCGAAGAGAAGAAAUCGGUUAGAACAUCAACGAUUGCACGAUCUUGUUUACAUAAAGUAUAAUCAAGCUUUGAAGACUCGUCAUGAUUUGAAAAAUAGAUUUGAUUCAAUCUCAUUGCAAGAUAUUGAUGAUUCAAAUGAGUGGUUAGUAGGAGAAAUGGGUGCUAACUUGCAAGAUGCUGAAGACGAGCUUGUAUUUGAAGAUGAUAGAUUGACGUGGGGAGACGUGGCAAGAGCUUCAGGUGCUGGAGAAUUACAAACAUAUACAAGACAGAUGUCAAAGAGAAA